RNAcentral lists this ribosomal RNA (237 nucleotides) under uncultured bacterium. RNAcentral's name for it is "partial 16S ribosomal RNA". It matches the Rfam family "Bacterial small subunit ribosomal RNA", at positions 100 to 334 of the family's 1533-position model. The record is from RNAcentral.
CCGGCACGGGUGAGUAACACGUAUCCAACCUGCCGUCUACUCUUGGACAGCCUUCUGAAAGGAAGAUUAAUACAAAAUGGCAUCAUGAGUUCACAUGUUCACAUGAUUAAAGGUAUUCCGGUAGACGAUGGGGAUGCGUUCCAUUAGAUAGUAGGCGGGGUAACGGCCCACCUAGUCUUCGAUGGAUAGGGGUUCUGAGAGGAAGGUCCCCCACAUUGGAACUGAGACACGGUCCAA